GGUCUAUUAGCUUAGUUGGUUAGUGUGAUGUGCUAAUAACGCGAAGGUCACAGGUUCGAUACCUGUAUGGGCCA
Molecule: transfer RNA, 74 nt
Organism: Ipomoea nil (Japanese morning glory)
Lineage: Eukaryota; Viridiplantae; Streptophyta; Magnoliopsida; Solanales; Convolvulaceae
Rfam family: tRNA
About the family: Transfer RNA (tRNA) molecules are approximately 80 nucleotides in length. Their secondary structure includes four short double-helical elements and three loops (D, anti-codon, and T loops). Further hydrogen bonds mediate the characteristic L-shaped molecular structure. tRNAs have two regions of fundamental functional importance: the anti-codon, which is responsible for specific mRNA codon recognition, and the 3' end, to which the tRNAs corresponding amino acid is attached (by aminoacyl-tRNA synthetases). tRNAs cope with the degeneracy of the genetic code in two manners: having more than one tRNA (with a specific anti-codon) for a particular amino acid; and 'wobble' base-pairing, i.e. permitting non-standard base-pairing at the 3rd anti-codon position.
Source: Rfam